AACGUAGGAGACAAACGUUAUCCGGAGUUACUGGGCGUAAAGGGCGUGUAGGCGGUCGACUAAGUCUGGCGUGAAAGCUCGCGGCUAAACCGCGAGAGGUCGUUGGAUACUGGUUGACUAGAGGACGGUAGAGGCGUGUGGAAUUCCUGGUGUAGCGGUGAAAUGCGCAGAUAUCAGGAAGAACACCAGUGGCGAAGGCGGUCAACUGGCCCGUAACUGACGCUGAGGCACGAAAGCGUGGGGAGCGAACAGG
Molecule: ribosomal RNA, 253 nt
Filed under: uncultured bacterium
Lineage: Bacteria
Description: partial 16S ribosomal RNA
Rfam family: Bacterial small subunit ribosomal RNA
Source: RNAcentral